UGAAUACGAGAUGCUACGGCGUCGAAGCAGUGUAUGUCAGACUUCCAAGAAAAGCUCGCAAUGUCAUAAAUAAAUAAUGCCUGUACCAUAACCGACACAGGUGGGUAGGUAGAGUAUACUAAGGGGCGCGAGAUAACUCUCUCUAGGAACUCGGCAAAAUAACUCCGUAACUUCGGGAGAAGGAGUGCCUUAUUUUAUAAGGUUGCAAUAACAAGAUCCAAGCAACUGUUUAUCAAAAACACAGGUCUCCGCUAAGUCGUAAGACGAUGUAUGGGGGCUGACGCCUGCCCAGUGCCAGAAGGUUAAAGAAGUUGGUUAGCAUUCGCGAAGCUGAUGACUGAAGCCCUGGUGAACGGCGGCCGUAACUAUAACGGUCCUAAGGUAGCGAAAUUCCUUGUCGGGUAAGUUCCGACCCGCACGAAAGGCGUAAUGAUUUGGAUACUGUCUCGGAGAGGGACUCGGUGAAAUAGACUUGUCUGUGAAGAUGCGGACUACCUGCACCAGGACAGAAAGACCCUAUGAAGCUUUACUGUAACUUGAAAUUGAAAUUGGACUUUAUUUGCGCAGUAUAGGUGGGAGGCGUUGAAACUAAUCUUGCGGGAUUCGUGGAGCCAUCAGUGAGAUACCACUCCUAUAAUGUUAGAUUUCUAACUUUGUAUCAUGAUCUGGUCAAAGAACAGUUUCAGGCGGGCAGUUUGACUGGGGCGGUCGCCUCCCAAAUGGUAACGGAGGCGUACAAAGGUUUCCUCUGAACGGGUAGAAAUCGUAUCUAGAGUAUAAAGGCAUAAGGAAGCUUGACUGUGAGACCUACAAGUCGAGCAGGGACGAAAGUCGGUCUUAGUGAUCUGACGGUGCUGAGUGGAAAGGCCGUCACUCAACGGAUAAAAGUUACUCUAGGAUAACAGGCUGAUCUCCCCCAAGAGUUCACAUCGACGGGGAGGUUUGGCACCUCGAUGUCGGCUCAUCGCAUCCUGGGGCGGUAGUACGUCCCAAGGGUUGGGCUGUUCGCCCAUGAAAGCGGUACGCGAGCUGGGUUCAGAACGUCGUGAGACAGUUCGGUCCAUAUCCGGUGUAGGCGUUAGAAUAUUGAGAGGAGCCUUCUUUAGUACGAGAGGACCGAGAAGGACAUACCUCUGGUGUACCAGUUAUCGUGCCAACGGUAAACGCUGGGUAGCUAUGUAUGGAGAGGAUAACCGCUGAAAGCAUCUAAGUGGGAAGCCCACCUCAAGAUGAGUAUUCUC
RNAcentral lists this ribosomal RNA (1241 nucleotides) under metagenome. Its description in RNAcentral is "bacterial LSU rRNA". It matches the Rfam family "Bacterial large subunit ribosomal RNA", at positions 1564 to 2815 of the family's 2925-position model. The record is from RNAcentral.